RNAcentral lists this ribosomal RNA (460 nucleotides) under uncultured bacterium. Its description in RNAcentral is "partial 16S ribosomal RNA". It matches the Rfam family "Bacterial small subunit ribosomal RNA", at positions 338 to 795 of the family's 1533-position model. The record is from RNAcentral.
CCUACGGGAGGCAGCAGUGAGGAAUAUUGGUCAAUGGACGAGAGUCUGAACCAGCCAAGUAGCGUGAAGGAUGACUGCCCUAUGGGUUGUACACUUCUUUUAUAUGGGAAUAAAAUGUUCCACGUGUGGGCUUUUGUAUGUACCAUAUGAAUAAGGAUCGGCUAACUCCGUGCCAGCAGCCGCGGUAAUACGGUGGAUCCGAGCGUUAUCCGGAUUUAUUGGGUUUAAAGGGUGCGUAGGUGGAUUGUUAAGUCAGGUGUGAAAGGUUGCGGCUCAACCGUAAAAUUGCAGUUGAAACGGGCAGUUGGGAGUAGAGUAGAGGUGGGCGGAAUGCGUGGUGGAGCGGUGAAAUGCUUAGAUAUCACGAAGAACUCUGAUUGCGAAGGCAGCUCACUGGACUGCAACUGACACGGAGGCUCGAAAGUGUGGGUAUCAAACAGGAGUAGAUACCCGUGUAGUC